AGAUCAAGCAUUGGAAUAAGAUUUUUAUCGGGGGAGAACACCCAACAGAAAGACCCAUGAUUCACCAACUGGCGCACUGAAACGGGAGAUUCAUGUCACCUUCAUCAGUUCUUUCUUUAAUCACUGGACACCAUUAAGGGAAAGACCCUCAGAUACCAUGAUAAAUGCGGCUGCAGGUCAAGGCCUGGUGAGAGCCACUACAGAGGAUCAUAGCCAUAGUUGGAAUUCUGAAAGGAC
Molecule: long non-coding RNA, 237 nt
Organism: Carassius auratus (goldfish)
Lineage: Eukaryota; Metazoa; Chordata; Actinopteri; Cypriniformes; Cyprinidae
Exons: 3
Source: RefSeq, a predicted model, not a curated record